UCCAUAUUGGUAAGUGUAUUAUGGAUACAUAAAUUGAAAACAUGGGACAUAUCACCAUAAAGGAUGAAUAUAAUCAUGAGUUUCUCUCAGAAUUGAGGAAGCAAUUGAAAUCUUUGUCAGAAUUCUACAUCCUCAAACACAAUAAAAGCUGAAAUUUUGGACUUGGAGAAACUAUAAACUCCAAGUAUAUAGAGUACUCGAGGGUAUGUAAUGAAUAUUUAUCGAUAUUAUUUUUAAAACUAAAAGUUGGAGUUUGAGAAACUUGUAAAUAGGAUUAAAG
Molecule: long non-coding RNA, 280 nt
Filed under: Medicago truncatula (barrel medic)
Lineage: Eukaryota; Viridiplantae; Streptophyta; Magnoliopsida; Fabales; Fabaceae
Description: lncRNA gene28341
Source: RNAcentral